This is a long non-coding RNA of Branchiostoma floridae (Florida lancelet), 1445 nucleotides long. RefSeq lists it as uncharacterized. Lineage: Eukaryota; Metazoa; Chordata; Leptocardii; Amphioxiformes; Branchiostomatidae. The transcript has 8 exons. The record is from RefSeq and is a predicted model, not a curated record.
GCUGUUUCGCAUCAGCGGUUUAGUUUAAUUUGAAUUUGGCGCCGUGCGCCCCCUGCGGCCACGCCGGUACUGCAGCACAGCCUGCCAUAGUUCCGCGCACCCCAGCUUUCACCAAUCAUAACUCGCCAAUCCGGUCACAUGACGGGCUAAGAUUAGAGAGGAAGGUAGCCAUGUUUGUAGGCAUUGUGUGGCGAGUGGUUCAUGGUAGUCCGCCUAAAUUAUCGCAAUCCGUGGACAGACAGCAGCGACGGAGCGUACAACGGAGAUUUUGGCGCAGCGGGGAACGAAGGGUACAACUACAACUUACAAGGUAGCUGGUCCUCCUUUACCACAGACAUGAAGGGGAAGAAUGACUGGAACCCUGCAGGCUUGUGUGAUUUUAGGUGCAGGAACCUUGCCCGUGUGGUCCGGGCUGACCUUGAUGAGAUGGGACUUAAGGGUAGACUUGAGUCGAGCGACAGGGUCAGCAAUGGAACGGGUUGACUGUGCAAGUCUGUUGAACUGGGCAUGGACCUCUUCAAUCCCCUGUUCCGCCAGGAAGCCGAGGCCGAAGCCCCAGCGGCGAAUACAGGGGACCACAUGCUCCUCAAACUGCCCUGACGGCUAUCACUAGCUACGGGACUGAGAGAAUGAUAGACAUGGAUCACUGCUGCUGUCUGUCGUGAAGCCCCUGCGACUUCUGCGGGUACGGGCCUGAACUGAACACAGACAAAGAAGUGCCUGGAGAGAAGUCUGAACUCUACAUCUUCAUGUCUAUCUUGUCCACAAUGACCUGGAGGUCACUGGAAAAGGUAGGUAGGCUAGGAAGGCCAGCUGGUUUUCCUGUUCCUCAACGAGGUCAUCCAACUCAUCCGCCUGGACCUGGAACACUUGAGCAUCGUCAAUGACGUUGAUGAAUUGCUCAAACGGCUUAAGGUGCUGGUCUUUCUUGACGUCUUCCCUGUCAGCCUCCUGUGCCAGGACCAAACUGUGAAGAGAAACAAAAGGCAUGACUCAUGCCCAGAAAUGGACCCUUAGCAAGUCAGCUUGAGUCUGCACUUAGCACCUUCAACAUGAGAGAUGUACCACAGUAGGACCUUUCUUGGCAAUCAUGUCAACAGUAGUCAUGCAUGGCUGAGACCAGGGAGACCAGGUAAGCGCAGGGUUUCGGCUCCACCCUCUUGCCUCCCUCCUCGUCCUUCGUCGUGAACGGCAGUUGUUCAGCCAUCACGUCCGUUGCCGAGAGGAGCUCGGAGGCAAUGUUUCUUGAGGUCCUUUCACUCUCUACAGCAAUGUUGUAGUCCUUCAUCCAUCUGUGAAAAAAAUGUCCCAGCAGGUGGCCAUCUGGGAUGCGGACCUGUGCGAAGCGGCCCUCCUGCAGAAGCCGGCUCAGCUGACUCCUGGGUAGGCGGCGCAGCUCGGCCGCCAUCUGCUGCUCUUCAGCACCCCCGCUGAUCUGUUCCCUG